AACUUAAGCAUAUCAAUAAGCGGAGGAAAAGAAACCAACAGGGAUUGCCCUAGUAACGGCGAGUGAAGCGGCAACAGCUCAAAUUUGAAAUCUGGCUCUUUUAGAGUCCGAGUUGUAAUUUGCAGAGGGCGCUUUGGCUUUGGCAGCGGUCCAAGUUCCUUGGAACAGGACGUCACAGAGGGUGAGAAUCCCGUACGUGGUCGCUGGCUAUUGCCGUGUAAAGCCCCUUCGACGAGUCGAGUUGUUUGGGAAUGCAGCUCUAAAUGGGAGGUACAUUUCUUCUAAAGCUAAAUAUUGGCCAGAGACCGAUAGCGCACAAGUAGAGUGAUCGAAAGAUGAAAAGCACUUUGGAAAGAGAGUCAAACAGCACGUGAAAUUGUUGAAAGGGAAGCGCUUGCAGCCAGACUUGCUUACAGUUGCUCAUCCGGGUUUCUACCCGGUGCACUCUUCUGUAGGCAGGCCAGCAUCAGUUUGGGCGGUAGGAUAAAGGUCUCUGUCACGUACCUCCUUUCGGGGAGGCCUUAUAGGGGAGACGACAUACUACCAGCCUGGACUGAGGUCCGCGCAUCUGCUAGGAUGCUGGCGUAAUGGCUGUAAGCGGCCCGUCUUGAAACACGGACCAAGGAGUCUAACAUCUAUGCGAGUGUUUGGGUGUCAAGCCCGAGCGCGUAAUGAAAGUGAACGGAGGUGGGAACCCGCAAGGGUGCACCAUCGACCGAUCCUGAUGUCUUCGGAAGGAUUUGAGUAAGAGCAUGGCUGUUGGGACCCGAAAGAUGGUGAACUAUGCUUGAAUAGGGUGAAGCCAGAGGAAACUCUGGUGGAGGCUCGCAGCGGUUCUGACGUGCAAAUCGAUCGUCAAAUUUGGGCAUAGGGGCGAAAGACUAAUCGAACUAUCUAGUAGCUGGUUCCUGCCGA
Molecule: ribosomal RNA, 915 nt
Filed under: Alternaria tenuissima
Lineage: Eukaryota; Fungi; Ascomycota; Dothideomycetes; Pleosporales; Pleosporaceae
Description: partial large subunit ribosomal RNA
Rfam family: Eukaryotic large subunit ribosomal RNA
Source: RNAcentral